CGUUGUCCGGUUUUGGCAUUAGAGUCUGAUCUGGCUUCGUGCUUUGUAGAGCCCAUUAAUCGGAAAGUACUAUCUACCAAAUUUAUGUCCCUUUUUAUUUGUGUAACUGCUAGGUGUUUUUUACUUCUUUUUGUGGGAAUUGAUAGAUUUUUUUUUUUGGUUAUUGUAAUUUCAUGUGCUUAUGAUAUGAUAAAAGGGUGUGCUC
RNAcentral lists this long non-coding RNA (205 nucleotides) under Capsicum annuum. RNAcentral describes it as "long non-coding RNA (CANN_LNC003846)". The record is from RNAcentral. Lineage: Eukaryota; Viridiplantae; Streptophyta; Magnoliopsida; Solanales; Solanaceae.